This 466-nucleotide ribosomal RNA is filed under the name uncultured bacterium. Its description in RNAcentral is "partial 16S ribosomal RNA". It matches the Rfam family "Bacterial small subunit ribosomal RNA", at positions 28 to 507 of the family's 1533-position model. The record is from RNAcentral.
GACGAACGCUGGCGGCGUGCUUAACACAUGCAAGUCGAACGGAAAGGCCCUGCUUGCCGGGUACUCGAGUGGCGAACGGGUGAGUAACACGUGGGUGAUCUGCCCUGCACUUCGGGAUAAGCUUGGGAAACUGGGUCUAAUACCGGAUAGGAGCCAUCUUUAGUGUGGUGGUUGGAAAGUUUUUUCGGUGUAGGAUGAGCUCGCGGCCUAUCAGCUUGUUGGUGGGGUAAUGGCCUACCAAGGCGGCGACGGGUAGCCGGCCUGAGAGGGGGUACGGCCACAUUGGGACUGAGAUACGGCCCAGACUCCUCCGGGGGGGAGCAGUGGGGAAUAUUGCACAAUGGGCGCAAGCCUGAUGCAGCGACGCCGCGUGGGGGAUGAAGGCCUUCGGGUUGUAAACUCCUUUCGCUAGGGACGAAGCUUUGUUGUGACGGUACCUAGAUAAGAAGCACCGGCUAACUACGUG